RNAcentral lists this ribosomal RNA (497 nucleotides) under uncultured bacterium. RNAcentral describes it as "partial 16S ribosomal RNA". It matches the Rfam family "Bacterial small subunit ribosomal RNA", at positions 28 to 507 of the family's 1533-position model. The record is from RNAcentral.
GAUGAACGCUGGCGGCGUGCCUAAUACAUGCAAGUCGAGCGAACAGACGAGGAGCUUGCUCCUCUGACGUUAGCGGCGGACGGGUGAGUAACACGUGGAUAACCUACCUAUAAGACUGGGAUAACUUCGGGAAACCGGAGCUAAUACCGGAUAACAUGUUGAACCGCAUGGUUCAACAGUGAAAGACGGUCUUGCUGUCACUUAUAGAUGGAUCCGCGCCGCAUUAGCUAGUUGGUAAGGUAACGGCUUACCAAGGCAACGAUGCGUAGCCGACCUGAGAGGGUGAUCGGCCACACUGGAACUGAGACACGGUCCAGACUCCUACGGGAGGCAGCAGUAGGGAAUCUUCCGCAAUGGGCGAAAGCCUGACGGAGCAACGCCACGUGAGUGAUGAAGGUCUUCGGAUCGUAAAACUCUGUUAUUAGGGAAGAACAAAUGUGUAAGUAACUAUGCACGUCUUGACGGUACCUAAUCAGAAAGCCACGGCUAACUACGUG